UACGUAGGGUGCGAGCGUUGUCCGGAAUUACUGGGCGUAAAGAGUUCGUAGGCGGUUUGUCGCGUCGUUCGUGAAAACUUGGGGCUUAACUCCAAGCGUGCGGGCGAUACGGGCAGACUUGAGUACUACAGGGGAGACUGGAAUUCCUGGUGUAGCGGUGAAAUGCGCAGAUAUCAGGAGGAACACCGGUAGCGAAGGCGGGUCUCUGGGUAGUAACUGACGCUGAGGAACGAAAGCGUGGGUAGCGAACAGG
Molecule: ribosomal RNA, 253 nt
Filed under: uncultured bacterium
Lineage: Bacteria
Description: partial 16S ribosomal RNA
Rfam family: Bacterial small subunit ribosomal RNA
Source: RNAcentral